CCUUAUCAAGAGUGGCUGAGGGAAUAGGCCCGAAGACGCCCGGCAACCUAGGUGCUUGCAUCCUACCCGCGGAGGGAGACGUGAAGCAGAAAAGGUGCUAAAUCCUACAGGAAUUUCACAGCGAGAUUUUCCUGAAAGAUGAGG
RNAcentral lists this non-coding RNA (144 nucleotides) under pig gut metagenome. RNAcentral describes it as "SAM riboswitch (S box leader)". It matches the Rfam family "SAM riboswitch aptamer (S box leader)". From Rfam's summary of the family: The SAM riboswitch is found upstream of a number of genes which code for proteins involved in methionine or cysteine biosynthesis in Gram-positive bacteria. The SAM riboswitch acts at the level of transcription termination control. The predicted structure consists of a complex stem-loop region followed by a single stem loop terminator region. The record is from RNAcentral.